This 98-nucleotide non-coding RNA is filed under the name Prevotella sp. Its description in RNAcentral is "TPP sequence". It matches the Rfam family "TPP riboswitch aptamer (THI element)". From Rfam's summary of the family: Vitamin B(1) in its active form thiamin pyrophosphate (TPP) is an essential coenzyme that is synthesised by coupling of pyrimidine and thiazole moieties in bacteria. The previously detected thiamin-regulatory element, thi box was extended, resulting in a new, highly conserved RNA secondary structure, the THI element, which is widely distributed in eubacteria and also occurs in some archaea. Analysis of operon structures identified a large number of new candidate thiamin-regulated genes, mostly transporters, in various prokaryotic organisms. The record is from RNAcentral. Lineage: Bacteria; Pseudomonadati; Bacteroidota; Bacteroidia; Bacteroidales; Prevotellaceae. RNAcentral also lists the same sequence under 1 other name.
GUUAAAACAGAGGGGUGCCCGCCGAUUGCCGGGCUGAGAUCAUACCCUGUGAACCUGAUGCAGGUCAUGCUGCCGUAGGGAUUGUUUUCCACUUUCCG